RNAcentral lists this ribosomal RNA (468 nucleotides) under uncultured bacterium. RNAcentral describes it as "partial 16S ribosomal RNA". It matches the Rfam family "Bacterial small subunit ribosomal RNA", at positions 28 to 507 of the family's 1533-position model. The record is from RNAcentral.
GACGAACGCUGGCGGCGUGCUUAACACAUGCAAGUCGAACGGAAAGGCCCUGCUUUUGUGGGGUGCUCGAGUGGCGAACGGGUGAGUAACACGUGAGUAACCUGCCCUUGACUUUGGGAUAACUUCAGGAAACUGGGGCUCAUACCGGAUAGGAGCUCCUGCUGCAUGGUGGGGGUUGGAAAGUUUCGGCGGUUGGGGAUGGACUCGCGGCUUAUCAGCUUGUUGGUGGGGUAGUGGCUUACCAAGGCUUUGACGGGUAGCCGGCCUGAGAGGGUGACCGGCCACCAUGGGACUGAGAUACGGACCAGACUCCUACGGGAGGCAGCAGUGGGGCAUAUUGCACAAUGAGCGGAAGCCUGAUACAGCAGCGCCGCGUGCGGGAUGACGGCCUUCGGGGUGUGAACCGCUUUCGCCUGUGACGAAGCGUGAGUGACGGUAAUGGGUAAAGAAGCACCGGCUAACUACGUG